RNAcentral lists this ribosomal RNA (771 nucleotides) under uncultured Vagococcus sp. RNAcentral describes it as "bacterial SSU rRNA". It matches the Rfam family "Bacterial small subunit ribosomal RNA", at positions 28 to 776 of the family's 1533-position model. The record is from RNAcentral. Lineage: Bacteria; Bacillati; Bacillota; Bacilli; Lactobacillales; Enterococcaceae.
GACGAACGCUGGCGGCGUGCCUAAUACAUGCAAGUCGAACGCACGAAGUUGAAGAGCUUGCUCUUUAACCAAGUGAGUGGCGGACGGGUGAGUAACACGUGGGUAACCUACCCAUUAGAGGGGGAUAACAUUCGGAAACGGAUGCUAAUACCGCAUAGUUUCAGGAAUCGCAUGAUUCGUGAAGGAAAGGUGGCUUCGGCUACCACUAAUGGAUGGACCCGCGGCGUAUUAGCUAGUUGGUGAGGUAAUGGCUCACCAAGGCAAUGAUACGUAGCCGACCUGAGAGGGUGAUCGGCCACACUGGGACUGAGACACGGCCCAGACUCCUACGGGAGGCAGCAGUAGGGAAUCUUCCGCAAUGGACGAAAGUCUGACGGAGCAACGCCGCGUGAGUGAAGAAGGCUUUCGGAUCGUAAAACUCUGUUGUUAAAGAAGAACAAGGAUGAGAGUAACUGCUCAUCCCCUGACGGUAUUUAACCAGAAAGCCACGGCUAACUACGUGCCAGCAGCCGCGGUAAUACGUAGGUGGCAAGCGUUGUCCGGAUUUAUUGGGCGUAAAGCGAGCGCAGGCGGUUCUUUAAGUCUGAUGUGAAAGCCCCCGGCUCAACCGGGGAGGGUCAUUGGAAACUGGAGAACUUGAGUGCAGAAGAGGAGAGUGGAAUUCCACGUGUAGCGGUGAAAUGCGUAGAUAUGUGGAGGAACACCAGUGGCGAAGGCGACUCUCUGGUCUGCAACUGACGCUGAGGCUCGAAAGCAUGGGUAGCGAACAGG